RNAcentral lists this ribosomal RNA (301 nucleotides) under uncultured bacterium. RNAcentral describes it as "partial 16S ribosomal RNA". It matches the Rfam family "Bacterial small subunit ribosomal RNA", at positions 509 to 807 of the family's 1533-position model. The record is from RNAcentral.
CAGUAGCCGCGGUAAUACGUAGGGUGCGAGCGUUAAUCGGUAUUACUGGGCGCAAAGCGUGCGCAGGCGGUUGUGUAAGACAGGUGUGAAAUCCCCGGGCUUAACCUGGGAACUGCGCUUGUGACUGCACAGCUAGAGUAUGGCAGAGGGGGGUGGAAUUCCACGUGUAGCAGUGAAAUGCGUAGAGAUGUGGAGGAACACCGAUGGCGAAGGCAGCCCCCUGGGCCAAUACUGACGCUCAUGCACGAAGGCGUGGGGAGCAAACAGGAUUAGAUACCCCCGUAGUCCCUGUCUCUUAUAC